UGAAUACGAGAUGCUACGGCGUCGAAGCAGUCUAUGUCAUACUUCCAAGAAAAGCUUGCACUGUCAUAAACAAAUAAUGCCUGUACCAUAACCGACACAGGUGGGUAGGUAGAGUAUACUAAGGGGCGCGAGAUAACUCUCUCUAAGGAACUCGGCAAAAUGACUCCGUAACUUCGGGAGAAGGAGUGCCUUAUUUUAUAAGGUUGCAAUAACAAGAUCCAAGCAACUGUUUACCAAAAACACAGGUCUCCGCUAAGUCGUAAGACGAUGUAUGGGGGCUGACGCCUGCCCAGUGCCAGAAGGUUAAAGAAGUUGGUUAGCAUCCCCGAAGCUGAUAACUGAAGCCCUGGUGAACGGCGGCCGUAACUAUAACGGUCCUAAGGUAGCGAAAUUCCUUGUCGGGUAAGUUCCGACCCGCACGAAAGGCGUAAUGAUUUGGAUACUGUCUCAGAGAGGGGCUCGGUGAAAUAGACUUGUCUGUGAAGAUGCGGACUACCUGCACCAGGACAGAAAGACCCUAUGAAGCUUUACUGUAACUUGAAAUUGAAAUUGGACUUUACUUGCGCAGUAUAGGUGGGAGGCGUUGAGAAUAUUCUUGCGGGAAUGUUGGAGCCAUCAGUGAGAUACCACUCUUGUAAUGUUAGAUUUCUAACUUUGUAUCAUUAUCUGGUCAAAGGACAGUUUCAGGCGGGCAGUUUGACUGGGGCGGUCGCCUCCCAAACGGAAACGGAGGCGCACAAAGGUUUCCUCUGAACGGGUAGAAAUCGUAUCUAGAGUGUAAAGGCAUAAGGAAGCUUGACUGUGAGACCUACAAGUCGAGCAGGGACGAAAGUCGGUCUUAGUGAUCUGACGGUGCUGAGUGGAAAGGCCGUCACUCAACGGAUAAAAGUUACUCUAAGGAUAACAGGCUGAUCUCCCCCAAGAGUUCACAUCGACGGGGAGGUUUGGCACCUCGAUGUCGGCUCAUCGCAUCCUGGGGUGGUAGUACGUCCCAAGGGUUGGGCUGUUCGCCCAUGAAAGCGGUACGCGAGCUGGGUUCAGAACGUCGUGAGACAGUUCGGUCCAUAUCCGGUGUAGGCGUUAGAAUAUUGAGAGGAGCCUUCUUUAGUACGAGAGGACCGAGAAGGACAUACCUCUGGUGUACCAGUUAUCGUGCCAACGGUAAACGCUGGGUAGCUAUGUAUGGAGUGGAUAACCGCUGAAAGCAUCUAAGUGGGAAGCCCACCUCAAGAUAAGUAUUCUC
This 1243-nucleotide ribosomal RNA is filed under the name metagenome. RNAcentral's name for it is "bacterial LSU rRNA". It matches the Rfam family "Bacterial large subunit ribosomal RNA", at positions 1564 to 2815 of the family's 2925-position model. The record is from RNAcentral.